UACGUAGGGGGCAAGCGUUGUCCGGAAUCAUUGGGCGUAAAGCGCGCGUAGGCGGCCCGGUAAGUCCGCUCUGAAAGUCCAGGGCUUAACCCUGGAAAGCGGGUGGAUACUGCCGGGCUUGAAUCCGGAAGAGGCGAGUGGAAUUCCUGGUGUAGCGGUGGAAUGCGCAGAUAUCAGGAGGAACACCAAUGGCGAAGGCAGCUCGCUGGAACGGUACUGACGCUGAGGCGCGAAAGCGUGGGGAGCGAACAGG
This 253-nucleotide ribosomal RNA is filed under the name uncultured bacterium. RNAcentral's name for it is "partial 16S ribosomal RNA". It matches the Rfam family "Bacterial small subunit ribosomal RNA", at positions 524 to 776 of the family's 1533-position model. The record is from RNAcentral.